GUAAUAUAAAUAUUACCAAUAUUUAUAUAAAGUUAGUCAAAUUUAAGAAAGUUUAACCGCCACCGCCACGUAUCUCACUAUGUCACUUUUAUUGGGACAAAGGGAGUAUAUGUACCUCCUCCAUCCGUAUAAAGAAGGUCGCAUAGGCUACGCCGCUGCUGUGCCGCGAGAAGUUGGCUCCCACGCCGUAGCAGAGGACGGGGAUAUCAUGCGUACACAAAGACGAAAGAAGCUAGUUCAAUCAGGAAGAAGCGUCCACCUUACAUAGUACGUACGCAGGGGCGGACCUAGGAUUUGAACAUAGGGGGGACCGUGCAAACUAAGAACAAUCAUGUGUGUAAAAAUAUUACAUGGCAAAGAUGUACAUAGCACCAAAAUAAGCGUUUGCGUUGCAGUAAAAAAACAGAAAAACUAGAAAAAUAAAGAGAAAUUUAAUUAGUCCCAAGCCUCUAACCUUCACCUGAUCAAUCUAUUUCUUUGGCCAGGAAAAGAACCACAAUAAAAACAACUAAUUAAGUGAGGCAAAAUUACUUAGUGCUAGAUUCUAACAUCAAAUGGCAAACAAACAGUUACAUAUUGUUUAGCCUCAGACAAGACGAUCACUUAAAUGGGUAAAAUGAUCAUCUAAAUAGAAGGUUAAACAGAAACACCAUUCCAUUGUUAGUGUUUAAAAGUUGAGUACAUGGGCUAAAAUGGCCAUUUAGACUUUAGAUGAAUAAUGAUAGAAACAUAGGAGAUAAGGGAGAUAAUAGAAAGACUAAUGCUAAAUAAUAUAGAUCUCAUUGUUGG
This 789-nucleotide long non-coding RNA is filed under the name Sorghum bicolor (sorghum). RNAcentral's name for it is "long non-coding RNA (SBIC_LNC016400)". Lineage: Eukaryota; Viridiplantae; Streptophyta; Magnoliopsida; Poales; Poaceae. The record is from RNAcentral.